Molecule: ribosomal RNA, 309 nt
Filed under: uncultured bacterium
Lineage: Bacteria
Description: bacterial SSU rRNA
Rfam family: Bacterial small subunit ribosomal RNA
Source: RNAcentral
CGUGCCAGCAGCCGCGGUAAUACGAAGGGGGCUAGCGUUGCUCGGAAUCACUGGGCGUAAAGGGCGCGUAGGCGGCGUUUUAAGUCGGGGGUGAAAGCCUGUGGCUCAACCACAGAAUGGCCUUCGAUACUGGGACGCUUGAGUAUGGUAGAGGUUGGUGGAACUGCGAGUGUAGAGGUGAAAUUCGUAGAUAUUCGCAAGAACACCGGUGGCGAAGGCGGCCAACUGGACCAUUACUGACGCUGAGGCGCGAAAGCGUGGGGAGCAAACAGGAUUAGAUACCCUGGUAGUCCACGCCGUAAACGAUGA